RNAcentral lists this transfer RNA (74 nucleotides) under Chloroflexota bacterium. RNAcentral describes it as "Chloroflexi bacterium tRNA-Gln". It matches the Rfam family "tRNA". Rfam says of the family: Transfer RNA (tRNA) molecules are approximately 80 nucleotides in length. Their secondary structure includes four short double-helical elements and three loops (D, anti-codon, and T loops). Lineage: Bacteria; Bacillati; Chloroflexota. The record is from RNAcentral.
UGGGGGCUCGUCUAAUGGCAGGACAGCUGUCUCUGGAACAGUAAAUAGAGGUUCGACCCCUCUGCCCCCAGCAA